CCUACGGGGGGCAGCAGUAGGGAAUAUUGCUCAAUGGGGGAAACCCUGAAGCAGCAACGCCGCGUGGAGGAUGAAGGUUUUAGGAUUGAAAACUCCUUUUGUGAGAGAAGAUAAUGACGGUAUCUCUCGAAUAAGCACCGGCUAACUCCGUGCCAGCAGCCGCGGUAAUACGGAGGGUGCAAGCGUUACUCGGAAUCACUGGGCGUAAAGCGUGCGCAGGAGGGCUUGUAAGUCAGAUGUGAAAUCAUGUAGCUUAACUACAGACCUGCAUUUGAAACUAUGAGUCUAGAGUGUGGGAGAGGUAGGUGGAAUUCUUGGUGUAGGGGUAAAAUCCGUAGAUAUCAAGAGGAAUACUCAUUGCGAAGGCGACCUACUGGAACAUUACUGACGCUCAUGCACGAAAGCGUGGGGAGCAAACAGGAUUAGAUACCCUUGUAGUC
This 440-nucleotide ribosomal RNA is filed under the name uncultured bacterium. Its description in RNAcentral is "partial 16S ribosomal RNA". It matches the Rfam family "Bacterial small subunit ribosomal RNA", at positions 338 to 795 of the family's 1533-position model. The record is from RNAcentral.